Molecule: long non-coding RNA, 358 nt
Filed under: Olea europaea (common olive)
Lineage: Eukaryota; Viridiplantae; Streptophyta; Magnoliopsida; Lamiales; Oleaceae
Description: long non-coding RNA (OEUR_LNC004081)
Source: RNAcentral
CCUCUCUCUCGUGGAUCUACUUAAUGGUAUUGGCUCUUGAGGUUGUUGCGUUUGUAUUUUUGGAAUAAUUACCUCAUUUUGGAUGGGAGUUACUUCAACAUUGUCUGGUUGAGGUUCUGGAUAUGCUUCUUGAUCAACAACAGGUAUAGAAACCUGUACAUUGUCAAAAGCAAUAGUAGGAAUCAAAACCGAUCCUUCCUCAACUUCUUCCUCAAAGACAAUGUCUCUAACCUUAUUUCUCUCCCCAAACUCAACAUCCUCAAAAAAUGUUGCGGUUCCCGUUUCAAAAAUUGACUUAAGUGUGGGAUCAUAAAAUUUAUAGCCCCUGGAUCGCUCAGAAUAACCAAUAAAAUAGCUG